Gavialis gangeticus (Gharial) is the source of this 109-nucleotide long non-coding RNA. RefSeq lists it as uncharacterized. The record is from RefSeq and is a predicted model, not a curated record. NCBI's taxonomy places the organism in Eukaryota, Metazoa, Chordata, Crocodylia, Gavialidae. The transcript is spliced from 4 exons.
UUUCAAAUGUGCACCUGGAGUAGUUGCCUGGGAUGGUUCAGUCAGGAACAAUCCUGCCCUGAGCAGGGAGCUGGGCCAGAUGACCUCCUGACAUCCCUUCCAGCCACAC